RNAcentral lists this ribosomal RNA (157 nucleotides) under uncultured bacterium. Its description in RNAcentral is "partial 16S ribosomal RNA". It matches the Rfam family "Bacterial small subunit ribosomal RNA", at positions 1345 to 1500 of the family's 1533-position model. The record is from RNAcentral.
CAGGUCAGCAUACUGCCGUGAAUACGUUCCCGGGCCUUGUACACACCGUCCGUCACACCAUGAGAGUCGGGAACACCCGAAGUCCGUAGUCUAACUUUACGAGAGGACGCGGCCGAAGGUGGGUUCGAUAAUUGGGGUGAAGUCGUAACAAGGUAUC